This is a long non-coding RNA of Apis dorsata (giant honeybee), 651 nucleotides long. RefSeq lists it as uncharacterized. NCBI's taxonomy places the organism in Eukaryota, Metazoa, Arthropoda, Insecta, Hymenoptera, Apidae. The record is from RefSeq and is a predicted model, not a curated record. The transcript is spliced from 2 exons.
AACGAGAGAAACGAGUGGUAAAGGAGAAAUAGAAACCACGCUGUGGACUAAGUAAGACGAGACGCUCUUCCCUUCCCGAAAAGAGGAAAGUUUGUGGACGCUGUAAUAUAUCGAUGUAAAAGAUUAACAAGAAGACGUAUCGAUAAGAGAGUAGAAGAUUUACACAUCCGUUAUAAUUGGACCUUGUUUCGCGAUGGAAUCGGUGCGACAGGCUGGUGUUUGAUGCAAAUCAUCGCUCUUACCGAGGCAUCGAAGCGCGAUGGACAAUCGACGAGGAUCUCGUUAAGGCGAUCGCAUCGGGGAAAUUGAUGGUGACGGACGAUCAGGCGAGGGGUCGAAUAGUACCGAAAAUAACGGAGGUAAGAGAGUCGGAGAGCAAGAGAAGGCAGGUAUAGAGAGAAGUGUCGCGUCAGUAAAUCGCGGGACAAUAUAAUCGACUGCUCGGUCUACGGCACCGUUCGAAGGCAAAGAGCGACAAAAGGUCCACGGACAAAGGAAGACAACGGGAAGGAGGCGAGAAUGUUGGCUGGACAGAGCGAAAAGUCAGCGUGAACGAAUAUUACUUUGGAUAGAAAGUUCGUAGAAUAUUCUCUCUUUCUCUCUCUAAUAUUAAAGAAUUAUUAUUAUUGGUGUCGCAAUUUCUUCGAUAUA